RNAcentral lists this ribosomal RNA (1404 nucleotides) under uncultured bacterium. Its description in RNAcentral is "partial 16S ribosomal RNA". It matches the Rfam family "Bacterial small subunit ribosomal RNA". The record is from RNAcentral.
AGAGUUUGAUCCUGGCUCAGGAUGAACGCUAGCGGCAGGCUUAACACAUGCAAGUCGAGGGGCAGCGGGGAGGAAGCUUGCUUUCUCCGCCGGCGACCGGCGCACGGGUGAGUAACACGUAUGCAACCUGCCCCUGUCAGGGGGACAACCCGCCGAAAGGCGGGCUAAACCCGCGUACAUGCCACCCGGGCAUCCCGGAGGCAGGAAAGGCUUCGGCCGGACAGGGAUGGGCAUGCGGCGCAUUAGGCAGUAGGCGGGGUAACGGCCCACCUAACCGACGAUGCGUAGGGGUUCUGAGAGGAAGGUCCCCCACACUGGUACUGAGACACGGACCAGACUCCUACGGGAGGCAGCAGUGAGGAAUAUUGGUCAAUGGUCGGGAGACUGAACCAGCCAAGCCGCGUGAGGGAGGAAGGUACAGAGUAUCGUAAACCUCUUUUGUCAGGGAACAAAGGCGGGGACGUGUCCCCGGAUGAGUGUACCUGAAGAAAAAGCAUCGGCUAACUCUGUGCCAGCAGCCGCGGUAAUACGGAGGAUGCGAGCGUUAUCCGGAUUUAUUGGGUUUAAAGGGUGCGCAGGCGGUCUGUUAAGUCAGCGGUCAAAGCCCGGGGCUCAACCCCGGCCCGCCGUUGAGACUGGCAGUCUCGAGUUGGAGAGAAGUAUGCGGAAUGCGCGGUGUAGCGGUGAAAUGCAUAGAUAUCGCGCAGAACUCCGAUUGCGAAGGCAGCAUGCCGGCUCCACACUGACGCUGAGGCACGAAAGCGUGGGUAUCGAACAGGAUUAGAUACCCUGGUAGUCCACGCAGUAAACGAGAAAUGCUGGCUGUCCGGGGGGACUGACCCCUGGGUGGCGAAGCGAAAGCGAUAAGCAUUCCACCUGGGGAGUACGCCGGCAACGGUGAAACUCAAAGGAAUUGACGGGGGCCCGCACAAGCGGAGGAACAUGUGGUUUAAUUCGAUGAUACGCGAGGAACCUUACCCGGGCUCAAACGGGGAGUGACUCAGGCAGAGACGCCUGUUUCCCACGGGACACUCCCCGAGGUGCUGCAUGGUUGUCGUCAGCUCGUGCCGUGAGGUGUCGGCUUAAGUGCCAUAACGAGCGCAACCCCCGCGUGCAGUUGCUAACAGUCAACGCUGAGGACUCUGCACGGACUGCCGGCGCAAGCCGCGAGGAAGGCGGGGAUGACGUCAAAUCAGCACGGCCCUUACGUCCGGGGCGACACACGUGUUACAAUGGGUGGUACAGCGGGAAGCCAGGCGGCGACGCCGAGCGGAACCCGAAAUCCACUCUCAGUUCGGAUCGGAGUCUGCAACCUGACUCCGUGAAGCUGGAUUCGCUAGUAAUCGCGCAUCAGCCAUGGCGCGGUGAAUACGUUCCCGGGCCUUGUACUCACCGCCCGUCAAG